UACGUAGGGUGCGAGCGUUGUCCGGAAGUACUGGGCGGAAAGAGCUCGUAGGUGGUUUGUCGCGUUGUUCGUGAAAACUCACAGCUUAACUGUGGGCGUGCGGGCGAUACGGGCAGACUGGAGUACUGCAGGGGAGACUGGAAUUCCUGGUAUAGCGGUGGAAUGCGCAGAUAUCAGGAGGAACACCGGUGGCGAAGGCGGGUCUCUGGGCAGUAACUGACGCUGAGGAGCGAAAGCGUGGGGAGCGAACAGG
Molecule: ribosomal RNA, 253 nt
Filed under: uncultured bacterium
Lineage: Bacteria
Description: partial 16S ribosomal RNA
Rfam family: Bacterial small subunit ribosomal RNA
Source: RNAcentral